CCAGUAGAACUUUCCAGAGAGUGGAUUGGUGCCUUCGGGAACUCUGAGACAGGUGCUGCAUGGCUGUCGUCAGCUCGUGUUGUGAAAUGUUGGGUUAAGUCCCGCAACGAGCGCAACCCUUAUCCUUUGUUGCCAGCGGUUAGGCCGGGAACUCAAAGGAGACUGCCAGUGAUAAACGUGGAGGAAGGUGGGGAUGACGUCAAGUCAUCAUGGCCCUUACGAGUAGGGCUACACACGUGCUACAAUGGCGCAUACAAAGAGAAGCGACCUCGCGAGAGCAAGCGGACCUCAUAAAGUGCGUCGUAGUCCGGAUUGGAGUCUGCAACUCGACUCCAUGAAGUCGGAAUCGCUAGUAAUCGUGGAUCAGAAUGCCACGGUGAAUACGUUCCCGGGCCUUGUACACACCGCCCGUCACACCAUGGGAGUGGGUUGCAAAAGAAGUAGGUAGCUUAACCUUCGGGAGGGCGCUUACCACUUUGUGAUUCAUGACUGGGGUGAAGUCGUAACAAGGUAAGCGUAGUGCU
This 524-nucleotide ribosomal RNA is filed under the name uncultured bacterium. Its description in RNAcentral is "bacterial SSU rRNA". It matches the Rfam family "Bacterial small subunit ribosomal RNA", at positions 988 to 1509 of the family's 1533-position model. The record is from RNAcentral.